Molecule: ribosomal RNA, 250 nt
Filed under: uncultured bacterium
Lineage: Bacteria
Description: partial 16S ribosomal RNA
Rfam family: Bacterial small subunit ribosomal RNA
Source: RNAcentral
UACGUAGGGGGCAAGCGUUGUCCGGAGUUACUGGGCGUAAAGGGCGCGCAGGCGGUCUGCUAAGUUCGGAGUGACAGUCAUCAGCUUAACUGGUGAAGGACUUUGAAAACUGGCGGACUUGAGAGCGAAAGAGGGACACGGAAUUCCGGGUGGAGUGGUGAAAUGCGUAGAGAUCCGGAGGAACACCAAAGGCGAAGGCAGUGUCCUGGUUCGUCUCUGACGCUGAGGCGCGAAAGCCAGGGGAGCGAAC